Molecule: long non-coding RNA, 725 nt
Filed under: Phoenix dactylifera (date palm)
Lineage: Eukaryota; Viridiplantae; Streptophyta; Magnoliopsida; Arecales; Arecaceae
Description: long non-coding RNA (PDAC_LNC006204)
Source: RNAcentral
ACAUGCGAGUAGAUUUGGAUAUGAAAAUAGAUCCGAACGGAUAUUAUCUGACCCAUUUUCAUCCCUAUUAAUACGUGAUGGUAUUCUCCUGUUCUCUAAGUUGUAUUAUGUAUCGCACUGAGGGUUGGCUUGCAAGACUGCUAGGUUAGGUUCAUACCUACAUGAACCUAGACCCAAAUUGGCUCUACAUCUAGGAUUUACAUUGGAUGUAACAUAUUGCUUGGUGGAUCAAAAUCAAGUUGAACCAUCAUUAUUAAGUCCAUUUGAGACAGUUUUGCUUUGACCCAAGGGAAAGGAUAUCUCCACCCAACAAAUUGUUAAACCUUUUCUUGCAAAACAUAUUGACCAAAAUUGGGGGUUGUUUGGACUCCUACAACUCAAUCCACCUCUAAGUUAAGCUGUAGAUAUGGGUCGGCCUCUCUAUUUGGCCAUCUGUUUCAAUUGCAUGCUACAAGUUGAGAUACAAACUUGUCCCGCAACUAAAAUAGGUGUAGAAUGAGCUUUAGCCACUCCACUCUUCCCUAAAAUACCCUCAUCGUGCUAUUUCCGUUCCCUUGCAAGACCCUCUACCCUUACAUCAUGUCCUCAUCGUAAUCUAUCCCUCUCUCUCUCUUUAGGACUCCUAGCCCCCUCAGCCCCCCCGGCUUCAGCUAGGCUUCCUUCCUCACGGACAUCCUUCAGAACAUCCAUAUCAGUGUCGAUUGCCCUCUUCUUCUCCCUACAUC